AAAUUGAAGAGUUUGAUCAUGGCUCAGAUUGAACGCUGGCGGCAGGCCUAACACAUGCAAGUCGAACGGUAACAGGAAGCAGCUUGCUGCUUUGCUGACGAGUGGCGGACGGGUGAGUAAUGUCUGGGAAACUGCCUGAUGGAGGGGGAUAACUACUGGAAACGGUGGCUAAUACCGCAUAAUGUCGCAAGACCAAAGAGGGGGACCUUCGGGCCUCUUGCCAUCAGAUGUGCCCAGAUGGGAUUAGCUUGUUGGUGAGGUAACGGCUCACCAAGGCGAC
Molecule: ribosomal RNA, 280 nt
Filed under: Salmonella enterica subsp. enterica serovar Eastbourne
Lineage: Bacteria; Pseudomonadati; Pseudomonadota; Gammaproteobacteria; Enterobacterales; Enterobacteriaceae
Also listed under: 2 other names
Description: partial 16S ribosomal RNA
Rfam family: Bacterial small subunit ribosomal RNA
Source: RNAcentral